GAUGAACGCUGGCGGCGUGCCUAAUACAUGCAAGUCGAGCGAACGGACGCGAAGCUUGCUUUACUGAUGUUAGCGGCGGACGGGUGAGUAACACGUGGAUAACCUACCUAUAAGACUGGGAUAACUUCGGGAAACCGGAGCUAAUACCGGAUAAUAUUUUGAACCGCAUGGUUCAAAAGUGAAAGACGGUCUUGCUGUCACUUAUAGAUGGAUCCGCGCUGCAUUAGCUAGUUGGUAAGGUAACGGCUUACCAAGGCAACGAUGCAUAGCCGACCUGAGAGGGUGAUCGGCCACACUGGAACUGAGACACGGUCCAGACUCCUACGGGAGGCAGCAGUAGGGAAUCUUCCGCAAUGGGCGAAAGCCUGACGGAGCAACGCCGCGUGAGUGAUGAAGGUCUUCGGAUCGUAAAACUCUGUUAGUAGGGAAGAACAUAUGUGUAAGUAACUGGGCACAUCUUGACGGUACCUAAUCAGAAAGCCACGGCUAACUACGUG
RNAcentral lists this ribosomal RNA (497 nucleotides) under uncultured bacterium. RNAcentral's name for it is "partial 16S ribosomal RNA". It matches the Rfam family "Bacterial small subunit ribosomal RNA", at positions 28 to 507 of the family's 1533-position model. The record is from RNAcentral.